AUUUUUGGCUUCUAACAAUUGGUC
Molecule: non-coding RNA, 24 nt
Filed under: Arabidopsis thaliana (thale cress)
Lineage: Eukaryota; Viridiplantae; Streptophyta; Magnoliopsida; Brassicales; Brassicaceae
Source: RNAcentral